CCAAAACAGCACUUGGCGGACGUGGAAGAUAAUUGUUGUAUUUAUUUUCUAAUAAAAUUAAAUCGUGGCGUGCAUAGUUUUCCCAAUAUGUUCUUGUAAUUGAAAAGCUUGAGAGUAACUAAAACUGAUUAUCAGCUGCUGAUUAAAACCCGAAAAAGGAAAGUGUUUUGGGUGUCUCCUCCUGUCUCUGAACUGAUUUCUUUACAAAUUUGCAUGGCUGGAUUUAUCUUCGUUUAAGGAUUUUGCCUGAUAGGACUCCAAAACUACAGCAGCAAAUGAUAAAAUGUCAUCAGUGAAGUGGUUGCCUACCACCCAGGAUCCAGUUACUAGAAGUUUAAUGUAAAUCCAAUUACAAAUUACUUGAAAUCUGGAUACUAAAGGCUUGGAUUUCAUAGCUCAACGUAUGAUAACCAAAACGAAGAAUUAAAAGAGCCCUGCCUGGAUGACCUAAUGCAACAAGACCAGCCAGCAAUUCAAGCAAGAAGAAAUUCACAAUACUGCUAAAAAAAUCAUGCUCCAA
Long non-coding RNA from Macrobrachium nipponense, 520 nucleotides. RefSeq lists it as uncharacterized. The transcript is spliced from 4 exons. Lineage: Eukaryota; Metazoa; Arthropoda; Malacostraca; Decapoda; Palaemonidae. The record is from RefSeq and is a predicted model, not a curated record.